GAUGAAGAACGUAGCGAAAUGCGAUACGUAAUGUGAAUUGCAGAAUUCAGUGAAUCAUCGAAUCUUUGAACGCAUAUUGCGCUCUUUGGUAUUCCGAAGAGCAUGCUUGUUUGAGUAUCAGUAAACACCUCAAAACUCUUGAUUUUUUUGAGUUUUGGACUUGAGCAAUCCCAACACCAGUCUAUUUCAGAUCGGCGGCGGGUUGCUUGAAAUGCAGGUGCAGCUGGACAUUCUCCUGAGCUAAAAGCAUAUUUAUUUAGUCCCGUCAAACGGAUUAUUACUUUUGCUGCAGCUAAUAUAAAGGGAGUUUGACCGUAUUGGCUGACUGAUGCAGGAUUUCACAAAGGUCGGCAACGAUCCUUGUAAAUCUCGAUCUCAAAUCAAGUAAGACUACCCGCUGAACUUAAGCAUAUCAAUAAGCGGAGGA
Molecule: unclassified non-coding RNA, 427 nt
Filed under: soil metagenome
Description: partial contains 5.8S ribosomal RNA, internal transcribed spacer 2, and large subunit ribosomal RNA
Rfam family: 5.8S ribosomal RNA (bases 1-120)
Source: RNAcentral